AAGAUCACCCAGCAUUAAGAUGCUUGACAUCUGUCACUAGACCCAUAGGAAAAAGGUGGUCUUGGAGUCUUCUUGGGAAAUGUCUUUCACUGCAUGGCGCUGUCUUUUAACUUAUCCUCCAGGCCCGUUCUCUGAGGGCGAUGUUCCGUCUUACCUCACCGGCGAGUUCCCUGGCGACUACGGCUGGGACACUGCUGGUCUGUCCGCUGACCCGGAGACCUUCAAGCGCUACCGUGAGCUGGAGCUCAUCCAUGCUCGCUGGGCUAUGCUUGGCGCUCUGGGCUGCGUGACCCCCGAGCUGCUGUCCAAGUACGCUGGCGUUUCGUUCGGCGAGGCUGUCUGGUUCAAGGCUGGUGCUCAGAUCUUCGCUGAGGGCGGCCUGAACUACCUGGGCAACGAGAACCUGGUUCACGCUCAGUCCAUUAUUGCCACCCUGGCUUUCCAGGUAAAUAUCAAAAUUCAAAGAUUGCGUUCACGUGAUUGCGGUCUUCAUUAGGACUAUGUAUAAUGGAUGGCUCGGAAGCUGUGCAUCGAUUGCCCUAAAGUAGCGCGUAUUGUAUGUUACGGAUGAGCUAUUUUUUAUGCAUGCGAGAAUGACGUCGAAAUCAUCAGCCCGUUUCCUUGUUAAAGAUUUGGUGACAACCUCGCUUUUCCUUCCUAUAUUAGGUCGUGGUGAUGGGCCUGGCUGAGGCCUACCGUGCCAACGGCGGCCCGCUGGGUGAGGGCCUGGACCCCCUGCACCCCGGUGGCGCUUUCGAUCCGCUGGGCCUGGCUGACGACCCGGACACCUUCGCUGAGCUCAAGGUCAAGGAGAUCAAGAACGGCCGCCUGGCCAUGUUCUCCAUGUUCGGCUUCUUCGUGCAGGCCAUCGUGACCGGCAAGGGCCCGAUUGAGAACCUGUCUGACCACCUGGCUAACCCCAGCGCCGUCAACGCCUUCGCCUACGCCACCAAGUUCACUCCUUCCGCGUAAAUGGUAUCCCAUCGUCUGUUGAUUCGGGAAGUUGUAUAAAGGUCGGCAGUCAUUUGCGGAUGAGCUGUCUGCUCGGAUUAACUCUUGAGCAUGAGGGUUUUGUAUCAUAUGGCGUGUGCUGGUAUAGCUCUGGACCAAUAUCCAAUAGUUUUGGUCUUGUGCUUUUAGUGACUGGAUGUAUUUUUGGCGGUUAACAAUUUCAUUGCAAACCAACUUAAAAUCCAAUCAUUUCUGUAAACAAAAUAAGCUUGUCUCGUGAUGUCAAGUUCCUUGAAAUCUGGUUUUGGCACUGUUCAUAACCUGACCUAAUUGGCAACUGUUGACCAACGGCUAUCUCAAUACAGUACGCUAGUGCAAAAUACUUCAUUCCUGUUGACAGCCAAAGUAUAUUUCCUACCAAUUUCUUAUCCCCUUAUGAACUGCUGAAUACUCGGACAAAUACUACAAAGUUGCAACGAUAUUACCUUAAACUUCUCUUUAGUACGCGGGGAAUAAGACAGAAUUUUGUGCUAUCGUCCCACUUGAGCAGAAAUCUCGUCUUCCGCCAUAAUUACUAACGAUGUUAUCUCCGACAUUUGGGCCCGUUUAACUGCAUUUGCGGCGCGGGAUUACUUGCCAAAACGUUGGGAACACGUGCCUCACAAAACCACAAAACCUUUCUUACACGUCAACAAGGCAGACAUGGUUGUUUGCCGCUUACCGAUGUACCAUAACGAGGGCUUUAGGGUUUUAGGCUCACGUCAUUAUUAGGCUCACGUCGGAGCCUAAUAAUUUUUGUAUGAGCGUACUAACUGAGGCCUUGUGAAUGCGAUUGUUACAGUGGACCCCGAACGGGUCGAGUGCAGCGUCCCUCGGAACGCCUCCCGCACAACACCGUGGGCCUUAUUCAAAAAGAACUCGACCACGCCGUACUAACUUCACUGGACAGAAGGCCGCAGUUAGUACACUCAUACAGAAAAUAUGAGGCUCUGACGUGAGCACUCAGACCUCGUCAUUGUACAUCGGUAAGCGGCAAACAGCCAUGUCUGCGUUGUUGACAUUUAAGAAAGGUUUUGUGGUGUGAGGAACGUGUUCCCAGCGUUUUGGCAAGUAAUCCCGUGGUGCAAAAGCAGUUAGACGGGCCCAAAAGUCAGAGAUAACAUCGUAAGUCAUGCGGUUAAGCGUUGACGUAGAUACGGCCAUGUUGGCCUGAAGACCUUCCCUAAACAACAAAGGCGACCGAGAUUGAGUGAGCUGAUGGCCGCGAGGCAUACAACCUCCCACACACACCCAUAAACCGAGGUCGGUGGAAUGCCCAACCACAAGUUAGCCCGGUUAAAAAGGUCUGGAAACUCUAGUUCGUUCGCCUUGUGACCAGUGAAGUUAGUACGGCCUGGCCGAGUUCCUAGGGGCGCUGCACUCGACCCGUUCGGGGUCCACUGUAACAAUCGCAUUCACCAUCACAGAACAUUAGAAACGUAAAAGUCAGCUAUCACAAAACUUCGUUGUCCAAGACAGUUUGAGUUAGCACUGGCUACGUGGUCAACUCUAUUGAAGCGUAAUAACAUAUCGGUAUCAACGCAUAUCUAUUGCAGGAGAACCACAUCGCUCCAUCUCUCGGAAAGAGACUAUCGUCGCAAGCUCCGCAGAUGUCUAUCGCGAAGCGAACCAUUCUACAAAGUAAGAUCCGUAAUACAGUUAAAUAGGCUUUAGGUUCCGAAUAUGCAUCGUGACAGCCAACACAACGCACAUCCGUGUGAGCACAAAAAGGGCCAUAAAUGUUUUAACCUUCGCGAUAAUAAAUUGGUGAUAUGUUCAUCUACUUGGAUAAAUGAAGUAAACAAGAAGUCCUAUAUGAAUCGUAACAAGGACAAUAACUGUUUCAGCAUCAAAGAAUACUCCGAGGACAAAACCAAAGUAUUACAACUUAAAAGUAUGUUACACCUGUGAUACAUUCAUCGCUUAGGAAAGGGAAGCCGUAACCCUUAGCAAAGGCAGCUCGUACAAAUCUCUGGACGUACAAUCAGUCCGAUUCCCAGGCCUUAUGAGGUCCUAUGGCAAGGUCAAAAGCCAAAGUCGCAUCGUAAAUCGUUACACAGUUGCUCCCUUCUGUGUCCAUACAUUUCAUUCAGUAAAGAUGGCCGCUAUUGCGAAGUCCGCUGUGCGCAGCUCUGUGCGCCCGACUGUUGCCAGCCGGGUGAGUCGAGAUGCCUUUGGAACGUAGCAUCUUCAUUAGUCUUCCAAAUAUGAAGCUACUUUAGUCAAUCUUAGUAACCCGAUGUUCAUAUCCGAGAACUCGGGGUCGCUUCAGUAAUCCUACAGCUCUCGGAGUGCCUCGACUUUAACUGGGGAUCUGAUCUCUUUGACCCGUUCAGGCUGCCCGCGUGGUGCAACGUGCCGCUAUCGAGUGGUAUGGCCCUGACCGCCCGAAGUUCCUGGGUAAGUUUUCGCACAACCGAUGGUGCAGCGCAUCAAUUUAUGAUAGAAGUUUCUUCGUUCCAUAGUGACAAAUUAAUAGCUUAUGCUUUUCCUUAUGUAAUAUCCUGGUGUUCCUUUGUUAUCCUCAUGUAUUCCAAAGAUUUGUUGUUGGUCAUAACCGACCCGAUCCACUCUGAUGUAGAGAUAUUAUGACUUGGAUAUGCGCCUUAUUACCUGUACUUGUUUGACUCGGUGCAGGCCCGUUCUCUGAGGGCGAUGUUCCGUCUUACCUCACCGGCGAGUUCCCUGGCGACUACGGCUGGGACACUGCUGGUCUGUCCGCCGACCCGGAGACCUUCAAGCGCUACCGUGAGCUGGAGCUCAUCCAUGCUCGUUGGGCUAUGCUUGGCGCUCUGGGCUGUGUGACCCCCGAGCUGCUGUCCAAGUACGCUGGCGUUUCGUUCGGCGAGGCUGUCUGGUUCAAGGCUGGUGCUCAGAUCUUCGCUGAGGGCGGCCUGAACUACCUGGGCAACGAGAACCUGGUUCACGCUCAGUCCAUUAUUGCCACCCUGGCUUUCCAGGUGAAUAUGUUUCUUUUAAUCACUCUACCGUUUCAUGAGCAUGAAGAGUUUGAUGUAUAAGUAGCGAAUAAUAUGCGCAGCAUCGAUUUGCUCCGUUAUGCUUUCGGGUUUUGCGUACAUUGUCUAAGAAAAUGAUGGAAGCAUGGAUUAAGGUCAGAUUUGGGUAAUAACUUUAUUUGUCUUUUCCCUGCUGCUUUUCUACAGGUCGUGGUGAUGGGCCUGGCUGAGGCCUACCGUGCCAACGGCGGCCCGCUGGGUGAGGGCCUGGACCCCCUGCACCCCGGUGGCGCCUUCGACCCGCUGGGCCUGGCUGACGACCCGGACACCUUCGCUGAGCUCAAGGUCAAGGAGAUCAAGAACGGCCGCCUGGCCAUGUUCUCCAUGUUCGGCUUCUUCGUGCAGGCCAUCGUGACCGGCAAGGGCCCGAUUGAGAACCUGUCUGACCACCUGGCUAACCCCAGCGCCGUCAACGCCUUCGCCUACGCCACCAAGUUCACUCCUUCCGCGUAAACUAAGUCAGCUUUUUGCUUGGGCUGGUGUAUAUUAGCGUUGGAGCUGCUAUCGUCGGUGUAUGCCUGCGAAUUAACGUGCGACGGAGUUGGUAUAGGAGGUCGGAUUUUGCCGUGUUACAAAUUGAGAAGAGUAAUAUGUAAGGGAGACUAAUUAUCUAAGUAUAUUUGCCAGUAUCAUGAAAAUCAGUUGCACGCUAGAUCUUUCCCCACGAACGGGUGGGCAAGUCAACGAAUAUCUACCACUUCUACCACCGCCCGGAACCAACCGCCGCCGCCAACAGGUAGAACAAUGGAACGUGCACAUGUGCCUAUGAAAGAUUAAGUCCGUCAUUUUUAGCCAUUGUGCAGAAAAGUCUAAACUGACAAUAUAUAUAACUGCAAGCUAUAUGCCCUUGUAGACGUUGCUGGUAAGAAGUAAUGAUGCGCAACUAUUCAAAUGAUGAUGGGUAACCUGAGUCAACAUCUGGUGCAUACGUAGAUCUCGACUUAACAGGUAAUGCAUCAGUAAUCAGAAGGACGAUUGCUACGCUGUUCGAUGGAAUCAAUUGUUCUUAACGAUUGUUGAGAAGAUCGUUUUAACCUCACGACCGGUAUUCCAUCGAACACCAUCCACAACAGAGGUUGGCAAAUCGGUUUCUCCAGCUGCGGGGGGGGGCAUAAUUUCGGUCAGUACACCUGAAACAACUCCAAAGAAAAACACAGAGUUCUACGAGACGCAAUAGAGGCUGCAAAUUACGUCUUUUGGUCAAAUUUUGGUCAUUAGGGACUCGCAGCCGGGGCCUUAAGCCGAAUUUUCGCUGCGGGUAUUGUGGUACGGACCCGCAGUACCCGCCUUAUUUGCCGACCUCUGAUCCACAAACCUUUCAAAUUACCCCCGGUUGAAUUCGUUCGAGUAUAACAAAGAAUAUUUACAUGCAUUCUUACACUGUAAUCAUUAAGAUUAAAAACGCGCAAUUUUGGAUCUUUCCUUCUCGCUUCCUCUUCAACUAUGCGUACCGCCCAAAACGCCUCUGCACGCUCCUCCUGUCAUUCACAAUCAACUCAUGCUACUCGCCCAGCCUGACUCAUCACCAAGCCUUUACGCGUAGCCAGCGGGAGGCUCCCACUGCGUUACACCGGUGGCCCCAUUGUAAUAGUACGGGCGACCCUCGGCUGUGUAAUGCACCUGCCAGGCCCCAGGCGCCGGCGGGGCGACCUACGCAUGUGAAGGAAGGGAACCAAAACAGUCGACAUAUUAUCACCCUGGCUUCUGCUCGGGCGCGCUUAACACUGCAAUCGAGCGUUGGCUUGACGCGACCUCCAAUCUAUUAUGUAGCGGCAUAACCAUUCCAAGUAAACAACCUAACAUCACGAAAAAGCAGUCAAAAGCCAAGACACUCUUACCUGCUGGGGCUGCUGCUGCUGGGCAGGCAUGGCGGGUUGCUGGAAGUAGGUGGGAUAGGCUGGUUGUUGCGGGGGAACCUGGUCAAUGAGGGACACAGCUGCUUGCUGCUGCUGCGAAUAUCCGUACUGCUGUGCACCAUACGCGCUGGCGCCAUUGGGUGGCGCUUGCUGCUGCACAGGCAUCGACACCGGAGCAUAGGAGUGCCGCUGCUGCUGCUGCCCGUAACUGGACUGGGACGAAACACCGCCGCCUCCACCUCCGUAGUUCAGAUCCAGAUCGCUGGUUAGGGCUUGCGCACCGGCAAUGCCAGCCAUUCCUGCGUGCGGUAACGUCGGUACCCAUGACAUGAGUAGUGCUGAUCCAGGGCCCCCACGGAAAGUCCUCAAGAGUCCCGAGCGACCCAACGACCCAAUGUUGUGACCCGAAAACUGCAGCAAGCAGGCGGCGGCACAAGUACUGCAGCGAGCAAGCAGCGAACUAGCGCUCACUGUGGCCCAGAUUACCACAGUGAAGGAGAAAGAAACUGGGGACUCCGCGGCACACGAAUGCUUUCGACCUUCCUGAGUACCGAGUACCCCGAGUCCUUCCCAAAUUUCAACCUUCCUGAGUACCGAGUACCGAAUCGAUGCAACAAGCAUGGGGUCAAAACGGAUGGAGGGCCUCGAGACGAAAUAUCCGAAACAUCAAUCAUCAGGGCCGAUGGAACCCUGCCUUGGCCUGCACGCCGGAGAAACCGUCUCCUCCUCGCCAAGUUCUUCCGAUUCGAAUGGGACGGGCUCCGUCGCCCUCCGGUUUAAUGCUUGAUACCUUUGCUUGGUUCUCUCUGCAAAGUUCACGCCCCCUGUACUCCUUCCUUUCCGCACCUUCCACCGUUCACAGUACCCAUUUCCCGACACCUACCCGCACACACGUCCAGCACCCCGUAUUCCCCCCGUCGCCCUUCCUCUGUACGCGGCUUGCGCGGCAAGGCUGUCACAAUACCUUGUAUUGGCGUGUAGCCACUGCUGUAUUGCCUGUUGAGCACAGCGUAUGGUGACGUGUCCCGGUAUGUGUCCCGAUAGCCCCCGCUGCCGCCCCCGCCACCACCACCACCGCCGCCGCUGCUGCUGGGCACGUCGUCGUACCCCACCACGUUAACGAGCGUGUUCCCAAGGUUUCUGUUAUACCCGGCACCGCCGCUGCCGCCGACGCCACCAGUGCCCCCGCUGCUCUCAAAGUUCUUUUCCAGCUGUCGGAGCCACUCGGAGGGGUUCUUGGGCUGCUGCGCCUUAGCCUGGGGGGCAGGCGGUUCAUCCUCAACGCCCGCGAUGUGCUUGCAAAUCUUCUGCAUGGCGCCCUCCAUCGCAGAGACCCACUCAACCACCUCAGUUUCACUGCCUGCGAUGUAGCAGACGGUUCCGCCGCUAGUUGUUUUAAGCUGGAUGGUGUUAGCGCGGCCGGGGAGGACCUUGACAUCCUGGACUUUGCUAAGAUCAACCACGCCACGUGGCUUGGUGGCCUCGGUAACCUUGUCGUUAUAAAAGCGGAAGAGGUAGCCCUGCUUCAACACAAACCAGCGGUUCCGCCAGUUCUUCAGGUGGUCGCCUUGCGACUGUAGCCAGCCAGCCUUAUCCGGGCUACGCCAGUACUCAACCUCGUCAGCGGAUGGAAGCUGGGGGAAGUUGUAAAUCGGAGGAAGGAGAUUGCGCGCGGUUUAGGGGCAGAUGUGAGGGGCAAACAUGGGUACGAGCGGAAAGGAGCUGCGCACCCAUCAAUUCUCAGCGGGUGCUUCAGGGACUUUCAACGCUGUCUUGAUGGAAGUGCUGCUGAUUUAACAGCGACUGCUGCGCCAUGUGGCUUGGGGUUGGCCCGAGACAUACCGCUCCGCUCAAACGGAAACCCCUCCGCAAUCCACCCACCUGCGUCUUUUUUUUGCCACCCCCAACCACCAGCGCGUGCAGAUUAUUGGCCGUCUCCUGCGCAGUUUCUGUUUGCCUGCUUUGCAGAAGCUCCGCGAGCCUGCAGCAAGGCUCCAGUUGAGGUUUGGACGGAACGCCAGCACGCCACUGCCAUAGGGACAUGGCAUCGACUCACUGCAUGCAGCAGCAGGUCAACGUAUCCAGCGCACUCCGGACAGUAUUGUCAUCUGCGGAAAGGGUUGUUUGCCGUUCCUCCACAUCCACAGGAGUCCUUGUAUAUAUUAUUAAGCUACCACCGCGGGACUGCCAUCGACUAAUGUGACUGAGGUCGUAAGCGCGCAUCGUCCGGUUGUCGGAGGCAUUCAAUAACUUCAAGCCGUCCAGGCCUAUCUGGACAACAACACGCUCGUUUUGUCCUUCAUGACUGACUAGAUUCAUGCGAAACUUUUCGCUUGUUCCCUUAAAGUCCGAAGCCAUUUUGACGUUCGAUUUCAGGUACACCGAGCUUAGGUAUACAAAGGAAGAAUGCUUACUUCGUUUUUUAUGACACUUCGUCUGAUGAAAAUCCUCGUUCCUGAGAGGCUGAUUUCUAACUCAAGACCCUGGAGGUAGGUACGUCUCGUCAUGCACGUUCCGGAGAGGCGUAUUUCCCCAAAGCUUACCCUUUGCAACACGUUUGUUAGGAUGCUUUACAUGGUGCUAUAAACAUCAUCAUGGAAAUCUGCGCAAGCCUGGUAUAGCCCCUGCCGCGCUAUUGGUUCAGGAAGAAACAGUCUAUUAAGGUCAUAUGAGGUAUAAAAAUUAUGUCGAGAUGAAAAAACGCUCCGUGCGUUCGCCAAAAACAGCAUCCCAGGCACUCGGCACCUGCAGACCUACGGGACGCUCCAUAAGGACAACCUGCCACGACCGCACCCAACGCCACAAGCUGAAGCCCUUAUACCCAUGCGCUGCCACCACCAAAUCCCGGCUAUGUGGUAAGCUCAUCAUUGCCAGUGCCUCUAUGGACAACAACAGGCGGGUUCAAGUCGUCAUAGCCACCGAAGCAACAAAAGCUGCCGCACUAAAGCAGCCUGACUCCGAAGCGCCAAGAAGGUAUGUACACACUUCAUGGCGCACACGCAGCACUCAUCCUCGAUUCCAGUUGUCGUCAAACCAACUCUUACUGUCCGGAAAAUGCAGAGCGCGCAAUGUACCAGCAAACACAAGAUCGCUCUCCAACAGUAAAGCUAGUGAGCACAAACGCCAACCAUUCCUGGCCCCCUUUGUAUCCCCUGAUCCGGGUUUCGGAGCUUCUAAGGCCAGGCCACGAUAUCCGCAGUUUCAAGCGUACAAGCCAACACACACACGCGUCGCAGUUGCAUGGUAUCACACAUUGUCGGUCACAUCGGAAGCCCUUAAUGAUGCACACAUACACAGUAAACAAAGAACUCGGCGAGUGGCAACCGCGCUACCCGCCCAAGUGCAGGAGUCACGCAAACAUACAUACGCACAGGCACGCAUACUCUUCGCUACGACGGCCCGGCGCUUGCGAAGGUCAGCGCCCCGACGACGACGACGACCUCUCGACCCGUAACAGAAACCAGCCAGCUAGGACCCCCAGGCAGCCUAAGUUUCAGAGGCUUAACCAGCCAGCGCCGCUGUGCUCGGCUAAGGCCCCUUCAGCCUUGUUCGCACUGUCCGCCAGUGCUCCCCCCUUCCCUCCCCUUUCCCUGCCUUCUCUCCUGUCCGUACAGGUCUGAAUUGGGAUAGGCCCCUGCCAAGCAGCGCACCCUCCUGGCGCCGGGGCCUAGAUCAGUGUCGCCGACUUCCGGGCCCAACUCGACAUUGGCGGUGGUUGCCGCGAUGUUGGUGUCCAGGGCGAUACGUCGACAGCCGCCAUCCCAGCUACCCGUGACACGUCCUUGCAGUCCGCCCACCACCACCCGCCGCAACCACCGAUCAAUAACAAACAAUCCGUUGGAACAAUCCGUUCCACUGGCGGCCCCGUACAAGGCCGGACACAGUGCAGGUGGAACCCUCGCGACAUUCGGUUUCAGCAGCACCCGUUCGUGACACAACUCUACAGUCAUACCUACAAUCUCUGCAAUUCGAGAAAUAUACAUACAUAAGAGUACAGCAUUAAGAGAGAGUCCAGGGGAACUGUCCCGUCGCCCACCACUGCGAGAGUGAACAGCGCAGUCAACCAUGUAAACGCGUUUGGCUCGGCGGUUUUUCACACACCAACACACUGACUGAUAGUUGGGACGUAUAGCCCCCACUGCCGCAUAUCAGCAGACACGUGCUUCACGGCACGGACCAACGCACGGGGCAGCGUACCCAGGAACGAGGUUUGGGUUACGAACAGCUGAGGGCCCUGAUGCCGAAUUACGGAGCAGCGGGCACCGCAGACAUCGCCCGGCAUCGCGGACACCACGGCCCCCUGCGUCCAUAUAUCACGUACCAUUCGCAUGUUGCACAUUGCCACCACCCCCACUGCCCUACCCGGACCGCCCGCUGACCAAGAGCCCCAACGAACGCGCCAGCGGCCCCAGCGCCUUUACCCACUGACCUGGGUCCGACCUCGUACAGUGCUGCGUAGAGGCAAUGCCGCCUCGUUGAUCCUACCCCCCCCCCUCUCCCCUUCCCCAACUCCAGUCGCAUCAGAUGUUAAGUAGCUGGCCCAGCAACCCCGCUUGCUCCGUAACCUCCGGGUCCGCCCGGCGAGCCUCCUCGUCCAUAUCUUGGAACAGGGUACGGAACUGGUGCAGGUGGAGCUUGGCAUUGUCGUAUUGCUUUUGGUUGUACAGCAGGAUGGCUGCGUACGGAAGGACGAACGAGAGAGGAAAACGAGAGCGAGGGCCGUUAGUGAGGGUUCGAACCUGUGCACGAGAUUUAGGUCCCGCACCCGCAGAGCUUUUCCCUUUAGCUCCCCUCCCCCUCCCUUCCCUGCUCCUCUCACCCCUUCCCUUGCUUACCCUCAAAUCCCCUUCCAUUCCUCAGCCUCCAUCUGUGUCAAUCACCUCCCUCCCCCUUCGCCCCGCUUCCCUUUCCCCCCUCCCACCCCACCGUAAUUGAGGUGGAAAACGGGCUCCCCCGGUUGUCCCGCCAUCUGAAUGGCCUUCUCGUAAGCCGCACACGCGUUCUCAAAGUCGUCCAGUCGCGCCAACGUGACUGCCAGGUACAUGUACGAGUGCGCAAAAUCGGGCUUGAGGUUGACUGACGCGGAGAAGUAGUGGAAGGCGGAGGCGUACUGGCCCGUGUGCAGGUGCACCAGGCCCAGGUUGUACGAGAUGAUCCACUCGAACGGACCCAGGUACAGGGCCUUUUUCAGACAGGCGAUGGCGGCGAUAUAGCGCUGGGAGGGGCCCCCGGGUGGGCGUGCGAACACGAAUAGGGAAGGGGCAGCGGCAGGGAAGGGAAGGGGAUGGAGAUGGGAGGAAGGUAGGAGUCGAGGGGGGAGGGGAAGAAAGCGCCGGAUGUGGCAUGUGAUGGGGGUGUAUUCUUUCCCAGGUGUGUUCUCCCCAUUAGCCCUGGCCCGCCCCUCACGUGCCAUGACACCAUGCGGCAGUCCCGGGUUCUCCUGCCUCCCCUCUCUUGCUACUCCUUGGCAUGGCCUGCUUUGCCUUUCGUCGAUCAUUUUGCAAUACACAGCAUCCCUCGUUGCGGCCCAUCCUGCCUUCCGCGCGCCCACCCACUCCUCCAGCUAGCCACCCACCUGCUUUCCAAAGAAGCACAUUCCUAUGUUGUUCCACAGCUGGGGGCUGUUGGGGGUCUGCACCGCCGCCACGCGGUACUUCACCAGCGCCACAUCCAUGUCGGAGUGGUCCUUUGUAAACAGGUUUGGGGAAGAAAGGAAGGAGAGGGAAGGGGAGGAGGGAGGGACGUAUAAAACUUCCAGGGGGAAGAGUGGGGCGCAUUGGAGGAAAGAUAGGAAAGAAGCCGUACACCUUGUAUAAGAGCAAGGGGGUGCGAGGGUGAAGGUCGAAGGCCCCACAGCCCCGCCUACGUAGGCUGCACAUCCAAGCUUACUGACCACUCUUCCCAUCCUCACAACCCCUACCUGUAUGAUGGACCCAGCCGCCAGGAUGGUCCUAGGGUUGCGGGGGUCAUGAGUGAGGGAUGUGCUCAGGUAGUCGAACGCCCGGUUGUUGUCGCAGGUCCUGGGCGGGCCGGGGAGGGGAGAAGGCGGGCCGCACGUGCGAGGCAGACGAGGGAGGGGAAUGGAAAGGGUAACCCUAAGCCGGUGUGGCCGUAUUGCAGGGAGCGAAAAGACGUGUCGUGGGACGUGCUGUGUAGGCCUGCAAGCUGUUGCAUGAAAGGCAGGGCCGGAAAGCUCGGCCGCCCCGCAGCGGUGGUUGGUGUCUUCCUCACCGCACCGGGAGGACGACACCCACCCGGCGGCCCCAACACCAUGUGGUGGGAGAUUUGGUGGUGAUGAGGAUAAACUUCUUGUUUUACGAUAUGGCCGAUUGCAUCGGGGCAUCGCCCCUCCGUUCGCCCGGGUACGUUAGCUCCAUUUUCCCCUCCGUCUCCGCCCAGGCCACCUAGGCUUCCCCUGGUCCUCACCUCUUGCACGCACAUACGGUCUAUUUACGUCAUUUUCACAACGUUCGCACAACUACAGUCUAGAUUCGGUAGCUGCACUGAUUAUUUACACCCCGCUGCUGCGAGACACUGUUAUCAAAUGUCAAACAGAUGACGGUUACCUGCACACAUCCCCGAAGCCGGUAAUUCCCCUCCCCUGGUGGGAGGAACGUUUCCGGAACACCGAACAGUUGCUUCCUUGCGUUGGGCUUUCGGCGCUUACUGCCUAGCGAUUUGCAUGUACCCUUCCCCUCUCCGCCCGAGCGCUCGCACCCCCUUCCGGUCCUGGUCUCUCCCUCCUGAUGGUUCCUCCUGGUCAGCUCCCUUCCCCCCCCCUCAUACCUGAGGAACAGCAGCCCCAGCGUGGUGAGCACCUCCGGGUUCUCAGGGGAGUGCUCCAGAGCCUCCAUGUAUACAUUGAUGGCCUGGUUGGGAAAUGAGGUUGGAGCGAGGGAGAAAAGGGGGAGGGGAAUGAUAAGGCAAGGCGGGGUAGUAGCAUGAGUAGGAAAGGGAGAGGCUCGCCAAUCCAGAUGCGACCGGAGGGCAACACAGUUCCCCAGUAGUCUUCGUGGACGCACCUGCGUGAAGUCGUCCAUCAUGCUGUACACCUUGCCCAGCUGCAGAAAGGUGGAGUCAUGGGGCUGGAUGUCAAUGGCGAUGCGGAAUGAUUCGAUGGCCCUGAGAACGGCAGGUAGAGAAGGAGGGAGCGGCGCAGGGAGGACGUGUUCAAUUUAAAAACUGAGCCGCGAUGUACGUAUGUACGUAUGUGUAUUAAAGGGUUCAUGGGUUGGGAUCAUCCCGGGAAGAACGGAGUGAACGGUAUUGUACACACACACACACCACUUCGUCUCAUAAACGUACCUGUCAUAUUGUUUUAAGUACAUGUAGCAUAGCCCUUUGUUGUGCAUGAUCUCCCAGUCGGGUGCCCCAAACUUCUGGGCCUCCUCGUACACGUCCACAGCGGCCUUAUGCUUGCCUAGCAGGUACAGAGAGCGACCCACCUGGGGGCGGGGGGUUGUGAGGGGGGUUGUGAGGGGAGUUGUGAGGGGGGUUGUGAGGGGAUAGGUGGGUGGGGAUGGGAAGAAGUGGGGAGCAAUGUGCGAUGCGAUGAGGCGGUAAUCACGAGGAGGAAGCAACAGCAGCUGCUGCUGUCUGUUGUCCAGAGAGCCAGGGAGGGCCGGCCAUGACAAACCACCUGCCCAGUCCGGCCCUGCUCAACCCGACAUUCCCUUGCCUCGUUAUCUCCCCCGUAUCUCCCCCCUCCCCUGUGCCCAAGGUUUCCUUGACACUGUUUCCUUCCUCUCCCUCCUCGCUCACGUCCCUGUCCCCCCCAUCCUAUCCUACCCCGCCCGGGCCCCGCGUAGUGUCCUGGCGCACCUGCUUGAGGUUGGCCGUGUUGUGCGGGUUGAUGGCGGUGGCCUGCUGGAACAGCUGCAAGGACUCCUGAAUUUUGCCUGCAAGGAUGUGCGCCAGGGUACGCAUGUGCAUGUGUACGUCUGGUCCUCAACUUUUAUCCCAUCCUGAUCCGCCCCACUACCCGCGUCCAACCGCACGGGUCAGCUGCAGGUUCAACCAUCAGCUUUGAGAUUAUCCUCUCCGGCCUUAUGAACAUGAACCACACCUCAACCAGUUCAGGCCCCUCCCUGGCCCUGGGGGCUACUACCAAUUCCUUACUCCCAAAGGCCCCAGGUGUACAGACAAACCAACCCAGCAGAUUUUUCCUCUCCGAGCAAUAGGCGGCUAGCGGUACUAGCCAACUGUGCUGGUACUAACCACCAGCUGGUGCCGGUGGGUUGUAAGUGGCCGCGACGUGGGCACUGGGUUCUCGCUUCCGCGACCCAAGCAAACAGGUAGUGCAAUGAAACUGUCUUCGAUCCCCCAAGAAGAAGAAAAUCCAAAGGGCUAGGUGUCUAUGUGCGCCGAUUGGCUCACCUGGACACGGUGGCCUGCCUGCCAUACGGUACCCCUUCGCGACCCACCUCUAUGUCGCAUGAUGAGAGCUUUGAUGUAGAUUGCGUAUUCACAGAGGCCAUCUGUAUCCUCUAGUAUUUUGUCUAUUUGCUUUAGGCACUCCUCGAACUCCUGUAAGGGUGCUCGGAUUGUUGGCCGCCUAGCUUUGAAGGUCUAGCGAAGCUAAGGGAGCUUAUGUGACCAACCUGUCGAGUAUAUAAUAGGUGUAAUGCAUAGUUGCGCUUGUCGCGCUGCUGUGCAAGCGAUGACAUGAAGAACACAAACCUCCCGCACGAACGUCCUUAAACUGAGUAAUUAAAUGGUUGUUAAGUAGCUAAAAUUCGAGUACAGGGAUGACGAUUACAAUUCCGGCCUGGUCAACUAAGCGAGUGUUCUGAUUAGUACGUAGAUAAGGAAGUAAUUUGUAUGUUAUCGAGUUUAAGAAUAGAUGUAUAAUGCAUAUAUGUUUGUAUAGCGAACAGAAAUCCAUCUUAGACUCUUCGGACGGGCUUGGCACAACGACUUCCGUCCAACUGACGUCAUGCGCUGCGUGCUCAGUGCGCAUGCUUUUCACUAAAUCCGUCUUCAUAUUUGUAUGUAGCAACAAUAACUUUAAGGGAGCUUGACCCAUAGGCCGUGCAGAACUGCAAACUGGUCAACAAAACGCCCCGUCACAAGCUGCACAUCCGGCGCGCAUUGGAGCUCCUCUCAGCAAAAAAUCACCAACACCUGACCUUAAACUUAUAAAACACUGUCCAGCACUACACGACUUUCGGAUAGCAAUGAUAGUCUUGGACCCUCGGGUCAACGCGACGUCCGCAUUGGGUCCGGAUCCUAUGCCAACCGCGCCUGCACCGUUCAUGCUACUACAAGACUUGCAUUGGAUUUGUCGCAUAGAGAUCUGCACCCUUCUGCUCUGGCUCUGCACCAUCUGGACGCACCAAGCGGUGCUACCGCGGACCCCGGGUUGGCGGCGGAUGGCUGUCGCCACACCCGCGGUUGCGGCCCUCAUAGCCUCUCCCUUCCUCUUCCACCCUAUCAAUGAGCCCAUCCUAUCCAUGAUGGUGACCUUCAUGAGUGUGCGAAUGCCCCUCACCAAGCUCCUGGCGGCGUGCUACGCCCGGGGGCCCUUAGUAGCGCUACCGCCGCCGCGCAACAAGCCGGUCACGGCGAAGGUGGCCAAAUGGCUGAGACAGUCGCAGCUCCUCCGACGAUGGUGGCCUAAAACUCCAAUGAGAUCGUCGCGUGCCGCCGCAACAUCAGCAGAAGCAGCGGCAACAGCUGGCUGCGGGAUAAAUGGACAUUCCGACGACGACAAGGCCAACAAAACCGUUCCUAUGGCUGCCGAGGUACCUGAUCUUGCGCUUGUCACAUUCUUCAUGCUGAGCCCUGUCGUACCUCGGCCCUGCCGUACGGAUGCCCGCUAUGGUGGAGGCGGUGACAACACCUGCCCUCUGCGUCGUGAACACAGCAGCACAUACAGUGCGCGUGGCGACUGCCGCCGCCUGCUUCGUGAGCUCGCUGGCAAGUGGCUUGCCUUCGCUUCUGCCUGCGCACUUGCGGUGAUGUACGGCAGGACAGCGCCGCUGGCGCUGCAUGCCGCGCUGGCAUACGGCAUGCUAGCGAUUAUGGGCGGCAUGAUGGACCUGACGGCUCUGUAUUGCACCACGAUAUGGGGAGUGGACCUCGUGCCUCCCUUCCACAACCCUUUCCAGGCGACAUCGCUGUCAGGUGGGCCGUGUGCGCGCAGGUGCAAUUGCACGAGCUCGACCGAGGGCUGAAGCGCAUUGCAUCGCGUCCCGUAGCGCGGCGCGGCGCACUAUGAUGAAUUGCAUGGGAGUUCUGCCGUGUUCCGAACCCCACCGUACUGUGCCGUACCGCGCGCAGAUUUUUGGGCUCGUCGCUGGAACGUUACGCAGAGCCGUGUGCUGAAGGGUUUACUGUACGACCCCAUAGUGGAAGGGCGGCUCGUACCGAGCGGUAAUGCCGCCGUCAUUGGGAAUGCCCGCUGUGGCGGUGGCGGUGGCGGCGGCUGCGGGGGUGCUGUCGGCAAUGUGGUCGUCGUGGACAGCUGCUCUGGCGGUGACGCCGCCCUACCGGGUGAAGUUGCUUCACAGCACCCGCACCUCCGCCAGCGCCGCCACUCCUCGGCCUCCGCCGCACCGCAACAGCAGCAGCAGCAGCAGCAGCACGACAUGUCCUUGCGCGCCCCGACCCUCGUCCCCAUCACCGCCGCAGCCGCAGCCCCACCGGCCCGCAGCGUGAACCCGGCCGACGGUGCCAGCACAGCCUCACGCGUGACUGACAACGGCAAUAUCAACGGUGACGAUCCCGACGCCACCUUUAGCGGCAGCUUUGCCGCCGGUGCCGACAAUGACAGCGAUGGCGAUCGUGCCCUGGCAAGCUGUAGAGGAGCGACUGCGUCCACCGAUGGCGGGGCGGCAGCGGGUGACUGGGCUCCCGGACGCGACGUCGAAGGCAGCGAUCCCGACGGUCAGAGGGCGCCCGCUCCCCGCGUCAUGGCCGCCCUGGCUAGUGUGGAUGCAGGCAAACGCUGGACACGGCGAGGCGCAGCCACCGCAGCUGCAGUAGUGCGCGGUCACGGCAAAGGCAGCGAGGGCGACGGUGGCGAGAGUGCUGCAUCGUGCAGCUUCUUCGGUGGCGCUGCCGACAUGGCCGCGAUGUCGGCCACGGUAGCCGCGGCUGCCGGGGCCGCGAGGGCGGUCCUGAGCAAUACACGGACACGGCGGGCAGUGGCCCUUCUGGCAGUGUUUAUCUUUAGCGGCAUCGAGCACGAGGUGCGGUUCCCUGCGCUGUCGGGGGGGGGGGAAGGUGCCCUGAAGUAUACGGCAUGAAGCGAGGAGGGCUCCAGGACAGUACGGACAGAGUACGGAUAGGGGUUUAUUCUUAGUACCUUGGCUUGAGUGUGCUCUUUUCGAACCUUUAGUUUCCAUUUAAAAGCCUUGAACUGAUCUUUAGACGGCGCAAUCCAGCAAUCCAUACCACCCGACACAUUACAAAACGCUUUCCUCCGUAAAGCUGCAGAAGACAUCCCGCGAAAGGGAAUCACCCGCUAGCCUCAGCGUGCACCCGCUUUCCGUUGCUUUACCGCUUCCUCCCGACCUCCCGACCUCACUGGCCCACCCCGGACCCGCACAUGAACAUCAAGAUCUUCCACUGGUAUGUUCAACGCUUUUUCAGCGGUCAAUGGCUCACUUUCUUUGCCGUACACGGUGUACUGCUGGUGGCGGAGGAGGCGCUGCGCCAGGCUGCUGCUCGCGGCGGUACGGCGGCGGCGCGGGCGCCACGACCGGCCCCCGACAAGGCCGCCGAGGGCAUCGUCACUGCCGUUGGGACAGGCAUGUGGCGUACGGCGGCUUCGCUGGCUGCCGCAGCGGCCCGCCUGCCGCCCUGGGUUUCGCGGCUGCUUACCUUGGCGGUUUUGGAGCUGACUGCGACCUGGUGGUUCUUCGAUGUGCUGCUGGAGCCGGGGAUAGUGGCACGGACCGUGGGGUCGUUAAAGGGAAUGAUGCUGCUCAUCAUCCCGGCGGCCGAGCGCUGAGGGAGGCUCGAGGCAUCGUCCGGAGACGUACAUACCGGGCGGCGGAGGGAGCUCUUGCGGGGCAGGGGGGGGGUUAGCGAUACACCCCGCGCAUUGAGGGUUCGUUUGGGCCGUGCUGGCGGGGUACGGCCCAGAUAGGGUAAGGGGAGGUAAGGGGAGGGAGGGAGCCACCGGCAGGUAUGGGAUGUUAAACAAGACACCCCACAUGGCAGGUAGGGACGUGGGAGAGGACCGCGGCACGGGAGGGGGAGGAGCGCAUGUGUGACAAUUGCGGCGGUGGGGGCCCGGCGGUGUGGCUUGACAAACGAACUGAGGGUUCCGAACUUGCCACCUACUUUGCUUUGCGGCGCGUGACUGUGUCGUGGUGAGGAGCAACUGCUGAAGCCAUCGCCCCAUGUUUUAUAUAGAUAUCAUGUGUGUGUACGUCUAUAUAUAUGUGUGCGUGUAUGUACGUCUAUACAACUGAGCCGCGAGGAGAAGAAACCAGCGGCAAAGGCGGCGCGGCAGGUUGAGAUCCAGCGUACACAAACGGCGUCAAUGCUAAUGUUGACGAGGCUGGCAUUACAACGGCAUUACAAGACUACAUCAGGUCUCAGUUCUUGACAAGUAGGAUGGUACAGCAGCUAGCCGUACCCAGAUGACGUGGGACAGGGUGGGGAUGCUUGUAUGUAACCACGUAUGUAAAUUUGUAUGUAGGUAGGUACUGGCGAUAUGAAUCAUUUUCCACGUGGGCUUAGACCCCCCUUUGAAACGGACAGGAGAUUAAGUAUUCCAGCUCCGAGCCGCACGUCGAGGGUUGGCAUGCUCCUGUUUUCGCGCCUCCAAAGUUGGUGUACGGGUCCAAACCGAUGGCUGCCCUGUUGCGUUGACAAUAUGACGAUAGCCUUGUCACGAUGGGCAUAUCCGAAGUGGAAGGCCAAUAUGUAUGGGCUUGUAUGGGAGGCCGGAUAUGCCACAAACACAACGUGCGACAAAUUUGUACUACACAUGAAAUGCAGGUCUGCAAGAACGAAGCUUCAUGCAUGAAACGUUGUAGAUGCAUGCGACCCCCCGGGAAUUGACAACGUGCGAGGCCUUGUAUCGUUGUACGACAUAUCAGUCACCACGGUGUCGCGAUUUCUUAGUCAUCCUCAGCGCGAUGGCUCGAAGCUCGGCGGCCGCAUACACACCACGUAGCCCCCCUCGCCCAUAUAAAAGCACUCCGCACAUUUCAGCCCGGAACGUAUGUGCCACCACGAGGCGCCUCGCGCGAGUUGCCACAUCUCCGCUUACAGAAGGGACGACCGGCCCGCCCCGCUUGUUGCAAUCCCCCCCCCCAAAGCGGUUUACUGCCCCGGGGACCGCGUGGGCGGGCAACGGGGACCCUAUACACACACGCGGCUCGCAGUACAGGUGCCCUAAUACACCUUGACCCCGGGAUUUACGACUUCACACAUACACACACAUACACAUCUGUACAACACACUCUCAAACUCACUGCAGCCCCAUGUUGCCCAGGCGACAUGGAGCAAAAUGAACUCUUAACUCCCACCAGCACAGUCCAUAUUCCCUUCACUUCUGAUUACGAGCCACAUCAUCCAUCCAUAAUUUGCAUUAAGGCAUGAGCAGCGUUCCUUCCUUCCACAUGCACUCCAGAAACACUCGCCCUCUUUCCUUUCCCCUUUUUCACAUUCCCCCCCACCUCUCUUCUUCAGCAGCUUCAGCCUGACGUCUUAACGUUUGUCUUGAGCAGUUAGCUCCAUUCACACCUCCCCCUCGAGUGCAGACACACAGAACACGACCCACGUUGUUACAGCACACGCAACAAUCAGACCUGCAUAAGAUGAAUAGCCCAGCUGCGGAGCACGCGCCUCCUGUCCUCUUCCCUAACCCGAACGGAGAGAGAGGAUCCGAGGCGCAAGAGGGACGACUGCGUUCGUCACAACGCAAACCCCCAUACACACGCCCCCUGGGUCCACCCUGGAGCCAUCACGCUGGCCGAAAUCCGUUAUCGCCCCACCUGAACAGAACCACCUCCUCGCCCCAGGUGCCGUCGUCACGGCGGUGCCGCUCCCGAACCUCCGAGCUGCCGUCAUGCCACACCACUAUGACCGUCUGGCUGCGGGUGCCGUACAAACCCCACUGGCGGGUCGGGGGUAAGGGCAGGCGGCGGGCGGGCGGGAGGGGAGGUGGGUUGGUGGCGGGGUGCACGCGGUUAGUCCACCUGGCAAGGACGGGGAGUGUGCGGCAGCUUGGGGGCCAGCGGAGGGAUGGAGGGGGAAAGGAGUCGGCAGUUAAGCGGUACGACAAGGCCAAAUGGGAAUACGGAACACAGUCGUACAUACAAUGACAUGCAGAUGCGAUGUAGGCAAAGGGACAGGCAGAUCGAAGAUAGGGAGCGCCAAUUGUUCCGACGUUGCCAAAAAUAAAAAUACGCAAAAAUUAAGGUGCGGCUCAGAUCGUUGAACACACGCACGAUACACCGUCGACAAUCUGUCUUAUAUCAACAUAAAGACACCGACAGCCCAAGACGCUGAUAGAUAUCGCACGGAACGCAAUCCCUUCCGCGCAACCCACCGCGCAACUUCACGCACCUACGGGCCGGUUAGGGCGGCGGCGCAGGACCGGUCAUACCGCAAGCAAGCACUCCCGAGCCGCAGCCGCCCCACCCUCCCUCACAAACCCUAAAACCCUAGCUCCCGAACCACCCCCGCCCCCCACCCUUCCAAGGCCCCACCGGCGACUGUACGGCGGCCACGAACCGCCCGCUGGUGAUGUGCUCAAGCCCCUCCCGCAUCCCAUCCAGGUCGUACGUCUCGAUGGAAGCGGCGCUGUCGCUGUCGCCGCGCCCACACGCAGGGUUCGCCGCUGCCACCGCCGCUCCGGUUCUUUUUGCCUCCUCACCCUUGUCUUGAGGGACGGACUCAUUACCGCGUGCUCGAGCGGUUGUCGUCAAGUGCUCGACGGCGUCAUCUCCUGCAUGCUGUCGCCCUGUCGGGAUAUCGGCAGCCGCCCCUGCCGCGUUCUCAUCACUGCCGCUGGCCGGCCCGGUUCCGGUCGCAGAUGUCUUCAGCGGCACCAACCGCUUGCUGUCUCCGAGGAGCUCCCCAAAGAUGCGGUCGUACGGUACGGGCUCACCUGAAUGCCCCCACGCAUUGGGACAGGAACACACAGCGGUGGACAGCGGGGUGGACCGGGGCUGGGGCUCUGGAGCUUGGCGCCCCAGGGGGCAGUGCCGUCUCAACCGCCCGGCGCCGCAGUCUCAGCAGUAAGGCUUCAACAGCCCAGUUCCCUCCCCCCCAUCGGGCUGCCAGCCUGGCAAUGCUUGUAACCACUUGCUGCUGCUGCUGUUGCUGUUGCUGCUGGUGAGCAGUAGCCGCUCACAGCCUCGCACUGGUCCGUCGCUUUCCCUCUCCCUCCCUCUCUCUCUCUCGUCCAGGUCCCUCUCAACCCAUGGCCUGUCGCCAUAAUGCAUUCUUCUCCCCCUUCUUUCCAUGCCCUACCAUAACCCCGAAAUACUAGAUUACAGCAUUGGCUCAUGAAAGCAAUAAAGUAAGGCCCAGGUCGUUAGUCAGCUCAUUUACUUUACUACAGCUGGUCCCCUCCACUACAGAGAUCCUGUGCCCUGUGCAGCAAAGCUAAGGCCCAGGUCGUCCCAGUCCCAGGCUCGUGACCAGCCAGCCGGAGUCCGUGCGUCCGUCCGUCAGUCAGUCCGUCAGCCAAAGCCCUGGUCCCGCCGCACCUUGGGUCACUCUCGGCAGCAGCUCCUGCAGCGCCCGGAUACCAGAUGUCACUUUAGGCCACUCCAUCAGCCGCCCGUUGCUCAAGCCUGCAUGUAUGCAUGAGCACACAUGUGCACGCACAUAUGUACGCCACAAGAAGGAUCAGGAAGGAUUGAGGGUAAAGGAGGAGUUGGCUCUGGUUUGGACUAUGCCCGUGAGCAAAACCGGGGAGGUUGCCCUGGGAGCCGACUUUGAGCCGGGGACCGUGGGACACCUGUCGACAACGCCGGUUUGCAGGAGCGGCCGGCUGCACACACAUAUGGGGUUUACCGCCCCCGCCCCGACUCGUACCGUAAAUCCGCCCAGGCUCCAAAAGCUCCACCGCCGGGGCCGCGACCGCACCACAGCUGCUACUGCCGCCGCCGCCGCCACUGCUGCUGGUUGCUACGCCGCUAUCGGGGCUGUUGUUGAUGUAGGCGAACGCGCCGACCUGCGAGUCCCCCCCGGUGAGGAGGUGUCCAACUACGAGAUUGAAGCCCUGGUAGUGGUCGCCGGGCACUGACUGGCAGUGCGCAGGGGGGAAAGGGUAAGCAGUACGAGGGGAGUGUUAGAUACCGGAAAGUUGUACGGCGGUUUCGGUGCUGCGUACGACGUGCUGAGGAAAGGCCAGGUAACUCGGGAACCCCAUCCCAGUCUCAAGCCAGGCCGGGAGACCACCCGAGAGAAAGCUAGAGGCUGGAUCUCUUCCAGCAGCAGCAGAAUGCGCAGCAGUACAUGUGCACAGAACAGGAUUACCUGUCAAUACGAUGGCGACAGCGUGCGGUUCGGGUAAAACGGCAAGAAUACCACCCAAAUUCAGCUUCUCCAAUCUCUCCUCCCUAUGCCUUUUGUUCCCAUGCUCCACUGCUGCGGCCGCAAAGCAAGCCUCAGAGGGCUGAGGCAUAGCGGAAGGCUUACAACUGAAACAACACGUCGACCCGGCCGCGCCGCAGCCUGCCCUGGCCCUGAAACCCCCCUGAUGGAUUGCAACAGGGGAAAAGCUUCUUAAUUGCACGAUCUAGCACAGCUGCAGUAAGGCUCCGAAACCAUCAUUCUCACUAUCACCAGCACAACAGGUAGUAUCGGCAUGCAUGGCCAAACCCGCCGGUCCCGUCCUGGUCCCGCUUCCCUGGUCCCGCACCUGCAUGUACUCCUGUGGCGAUGCGCUUCCGGUCAGGAAGUUGGUCACAAGCUCGCCGCGGCUGGCACAGGAGGCUGAGCUGUUAUGACUGGUGGGUUCAAUCGGAUCCAGGCUACGGAGAUUCGUGAGGAAGGCCAGACGACCUGAGCGAACGUUGAUGCCUAACCAGGUCCCCCCGCUGCCCAUGUCGCGGCCGCCGAGGAUGAAGCUGCCAUCCUCCCAGAGGUGCAGAGACUUCGUGGGCCUAGUUGCAAUUUAGUGCGUUAGGAGGGUUUGGCCGAAAAUUGGGGUUACGUUAUGUUGGGAAGCUGUGUGCGGAAUGGUGCUACGGUCCCCGGGACGGAGCCGCGAGGUGUGAAGGCUUCGGCCAGCAAGUUGCAUGGGGGCGUGGGAACGAUGCAUACAUACCUCCUGAAAAACUCGUCUCGAUUGAAGGCAAGUAGCAGCCGGGGCUGAGGAGGGUCACAUCCGAAAACUAGGAACGCUAGACACAUUGGCCGACGUGCAGUUAAAUUACGGAUAUUUAUUUCACAGCAAUUCUUUCCAUUCAAUGCAAUGUUUCCGUUGCAGAUAUUUAUCUUAACCGUUGUCCUGGUCAGUGCGCAGCUUGGAUUUUAGUUUUGUGCGGAGGGCGUCCUUUGGAGCGCUGCACUUGGCCCAAUCGGGAUCAACUGCGACAACUGCAAUUUGGAUUUUAGUUGUAUGAUGAGCAUGCAACGACGAAUGCAACAGUAGUCGCGCUGAAGGCACUAGAGGCAGAGUGUCACGAUACCUUUGGAUGAUGGCGAAUGCGACAUUUGAUCCCUUCAUACAUGACCUACAUCAUCCUAGGGGUCGGAAGUGGGUUCGACGGUACUACCGUGUCAUUCUGCCUAUAGCUGUCGAGCAGUUCAACCUUGCCUGGUGUCUGUCCCACGGAAAACCUGCGUUGACCCGCUUUAACUGAUACUGUAAAAAGGAUAUACUGUAAAAAGGAAAUCGUGGGGAACGGGACGAUGCUCCUUUGUUGUUGCCCACACACCGGCCCAGAGGUAGUAGAUGAAGCGCGCAUUCGCAUCAGCACGGGCCUACCUAAUAGCUAGGAGAAUUAGACGGCGCUGUCAGUGUGCAGGCCUUCGACCUAGAGCGCGAUUGCGUUCCUGAACGGAUAAAAUCUUGCCGAGAGUCCGAAGCGAUAGAAACGCAGUGCUUUCCAUGAACAAUCAACACGCGGCUUGGACAGCUUAUCAGAGUAUCGUACUCGCCUGUUACAUAUAUAAAAAAACAUGCCAGCCCGAUCUGGUCAGGAGGCGCCAGCAGAGGCAUCGCAUUCCGGUCCCUCCCACAAAUCAAACACCCGGCCAUCAUUCCUUGCAUGCACAACCCUCGAGCGUUCAGGCCUAUGCUGCUACCGGUGGCUUAACGGCCAUCCUUGUGCAAGCAUAAAUGUUGAAGCCAUGGGAAACGUGUUGGCCAACCAAAACAGGUGACGGACCCGGCCAAAGACGUUAAGCACCUCAACCUGCUCUCGAAGGCACCACCUCGACAACACCAUCCAUACAGAUGCGGACAACAUGCCGUCCUAAAAUUGUACAAUACCUGCCAAACAGAAGAGCGCGCGUGUCUAAAAUGGCCCAUCGUUACGAGUUGGCAGGCCGCGCUUAAAAAUAGGUUCAUCGUCCUCGUUGCCGAAGGAAAUUCCGUAACCCCUGCUGGCGCCAUAGGCGUUUAGGUAGGUCUCCCCACCAGCGCCAUGGCUGCCGUGACUACCCUUGUUGUAGCUACCGCCGCCACCCCCAUACACUCGGCCAGAGGGAAUAUUGCGGCCGACAAUCGCCACCCCGUGGCCUGUGGUGGAGCGGCCUGCGAAGAACGGAUCCGACGAAGCAUCCAGAAGCGAAUUGCCCACAUCCAUGGACGUCGGCGGCGGCUUGCUACGACCACCCUUGCCAACCGUCUGCCACUGAUCCUCGUCGCUGGCGCCGCUCGUAACGCUACCGGCAAUGCCUCCUGUGCGGGCAACGGCGCCGAGACUGGAGCCGCUAUUCGCGUAGGCCACGUUGCUGGUGGUGAGGCGGUCAGGCUCCGUCACACCACGCUCGCGCAGAACCUCCUCGCGGGGCCUGGCGGCCCCGAAAAUGGAUGAGCGCGUCCCAUUAGGUGCGCUUGAAUUGCCACCCCCGAGUACAGGGGCGGCAAUAGGGGAUCCGCUGGCAGCUGCCGGUCCAUCACCAGCAGCCGCUGCAGAGUUUCCAGGCGGCGACGGGACCGGCUUCGUGCGCGGCUGUAAGUUAAGCCGUGGCCUGCCAGACGCCGUGCUGAUCGCACCUGGCGGUGGAGGCGGCGACUCCUCGCGGCGCGGCGGCUGAUAAGGCGCAUGGACCUCUCCCGUAUCAUCCGUACGUCCCCGCGCGCGCCAUGCCUCCGCUGCAUCUGCCGCGCCUGUCGGCGCGAGGCUAGCACGCCAGCCAUUGCCCGCAUCGCCCAAAAGGGCACUGUUGCCAGGCGCACCAUUGCGCCAUGUCUCUGUGGGCAAGCCAGAGGCAUUGCGGCGAUCCGACUCACCGUAACCGCGCCGCGGCUCUGGGUCAUUGGAAUGGCCCCCAAUGCCAUUGGACGACACACCGCGAGGCGAUGUGCUGUAUGCACCCGAGCCGUUUGCGGAGCCGUUGGAAUAGGUCACGGGCCGGGUCAAGCUGCUUCGGGGCCGCUCGUCCGCAAUGCGGAGGCUCUCCGACAGGCUGCUGCUGCCUGCGAGGCGUGCAACGUGAUAGAGCAAUGUGCACAGCAACACCGGAAAGCGUUAUGAUAACAUGCAAACAGCGAAGAUUAGUGGGGAAAACAACAGGGAAAUGCCGCUACGACAGAGAGCUCCGUGACCACCGUGUGCGCGAUGACGACCCUUGCCUUUCAAAGUUGUUUUUAAAACAACAGCAUAAUUAGUUCACAAGAAGACAUGGAUUCACUGCACACAACACGACCAUACCGGACAGCUCACCAUUAAUAAGACUCGACUUCGCGGCCGUCAUGCGGGCCAGCGCCUGCUGCGCCAGGCGUUCCGCCCACUCGUUCUUCACCGGCUCCGAAGCUGUCACCUCAGCAACGGAAUCCAAAGGGACAGAUACGUUUGUGGCACGGACCGCCGGCUCCGCGUCAACGGACAGGGCAGCAACUUGCAGUUCGAGGCCAGCCGCCACCGCCACAGGCUUAGCCGUCUCUUCAAAUGGACUCCGCUCCUCUUGGCUCAGCAGUUGCAGGCUUUGCGGGCCCACAUACCCCACCGCGGGAAAAGGCAUCUGAAGCUGUUGCUGGUUGAGCUGCGACUGCUGAUCCUCGGUUACGAAGUCCUCGUGACGGCCGUCGCACAGACCGGCCUGCGUAGAGGGCAUACCUGCCGGCUGCAUGGGAGGAGGUGCAUUACCGAAGCUCGGUCCCGAUGGAGGGGCCAGCAUCUGCCCGUAUGCAUCAAUGCCAGGACUAAAAAACGUAGGCGGCAGCGGCCCCGGACCGCCCAUGGGACCACCAGGAGCGUUGAAUGGAUCUGACAUAAAGGCGUGUGUGCCAGGCCCCGACGAUACCAGGUGCUGCUGCAGCAACUGCUGCUGGAAUUGGUAGGCUGGGUCGAACUGUUGUUGCUGAAGAAAGUGCUGCUGCUGAUACUCUGAGAGAGGGGGAUACUGGUGCUGCGGCAGCAUGUGGUGCAGCAGCUGUUGCUGCUGCGAGAAAUCGAGCAAAGGCUGACCCUCUUGGAAUGGUGGUGGAGGAUACUGCUGCAGUUGAGGUUGCUGCGGCUGCACCAUAGGAGCUUGCGAUUGCUGUGGAAGCGAGGGAAGGUGAGCUGUGGCGUGCGCCAAUGUGUCCGCCGGCGGUUGCGUGACUUGCAGGGGGCCCUGCACAGGUGUAGCCAGAGGCGGCUGAUAGGACAGAUGCGAGGCGUAUGGAGCCGGGGGCUGUUCCACGACCUGUUGAGAUGCUGCGGCUGGACGCUCCAACGCUGGUGCGGGCUGCUGACCAUGGGAUUGCUGCAGCUGGCGAGGUGGACGCGGAGGCCGUUGAUGCUUAGCAGCUCCCUCACCGUCAAACUGCGCUCCAGCCGAUCCGGCAGCACCCGCUGCCUGCAGGGACGCACACACAACAUACAGAUGUUAAAUACUAUGCUCAGGUCAUUGAGACUGCCCUCAAGACAUCAGAUAUCAAUAGUCCUACUAAAGCAACAGCCGACAACUCGGGCCCUCUUUCUAAUCACACUCCCGGACAUUUCCUUGGAAACAGACGGAACAUGAUCAUAUCAUUAAAGGUUCAACAACUGAAGCGCUUCUCGAGUGUCCAAAGCUCUCACCUCGAGAUCGCCGACGCCUUCCCCCCCUCCAUCCGAACGUCCACCAUUCCGACGGCGACCGCCACGGCCCCUGGCGCCACCACGGCUACCUUCGAACCCGUCCCUCUUGCCGCCAUCGGUGUCCUGGUGCCUCGGCUUAGGGUUCUGCCCCGGCUGUUCCUGCGAUUGCCUCGGCUCCCUGGUCCUGCGCGGCUGCGGUCCAUUAGGUGCUGCCUCAGAGUUUUCCCUGGCAAUGCCCUCGGAAACACCGUUUUGGGAAGGGGGGCGGGAUGCCCUGGGAAGCCUCUGCCGAGGCUUCCUCUCCUGUUGUGCUUCCACCACAUUGGUGCCAGGCUGAGAGCCAGACGCCAUGCGCUGAAGCUCGACGGCCGGUCCGCUGCCUUCGCCAGCAACCGUCUGCUGACCGACGCGGCCUCGCCGUCCCCUGGGCCUGCCGUACCGCUGUCCGCCACGCUCCGCAUCCUCGUGCUCGACGGCGGCGCUGGUGCCGUUGGUAGCGGCCGUGAUGGUUGCAUUUGAAGUAGCGUUGGCAUUCGCAUUAACUGUCUCCUGCGUCGGGCCGCGCGGCCUGCGAUCCCCUCGCGGGCGUCCGUGCCUCUCUUGCUGUCGCCCCGGCACUCCGCCGUUUGAGGUAGCGUAAGCAGCAGAAUCUUCAGCUCCUGCUGGCGCGCCUUCGGGCCCUGUGCCGCCGCCCCGGCCUCGGCCAUCGCGGCGCCGUGUCUCCCUCGGACGUCCUCCAUGGGCACCAUCGGCGCUUCCAUUUGCGCCGCCACUGACGAUGUCAACAGCGGAAGCACCUCCGUUGGAAUAGGAGACGCCAAAAGCGCCUGCGUCGCGGCCUCGACCGCCGCCAGCAAGAGGCUGCAGUGACGGCUCAGUGACAUGCUGCUUGCCAUCACCACUGGCCACGGUCGCCCCGCCGGGCUUGCCUCCAGCGGAUGAGUUGACACCAUUGUAUGUCUCGGGCCUGACUGCGUUCCCAUUAACAGGUCCAUGCUUGCCACCCGUCUGACCGUUGGCGUUGUUGCGUCCAUUGUGCUGUGGAUUGGCUAGACCAUUUGAAGCAUUGAGCAGCUUGCUCCUUCCGUUCUCCACAUGCCCAUUAGCAGCGCCAUGGCUGGCGGACUGGUUGUAACCGCCGUUCCCGCUCUUUGCUACGUCCUGAACAUGGACUGGCCUGGAAAAGGCAAUAUACAUACUUUCAGAGGCAACUCAGCUGGAGUCCAUUGGAUGCCGCGAAACCUUGUCGCUGCACCUUUGGACCCAAAACUGCGGGACAUGGGACUUUCCGUCCGCGGCCCAAAGGACAGUGUAGCCACAAGCAACAAGACUAAUGAAAUAUGAAUCAAGCGUGUCGUGUUAACGAUUAGCGAUACCACCAGGUCAUAUAGUAAUGCAGAAUUCCAGGUCGAAGCGGGCUCGGAUCUAAUCCCCCCGGACCCACCUUUCGCCCUUGCGCUGCUGCUGCUGCUGGGGCUCCACCGAACUUGUUUUUGAUGUAGCGUCAUGGAUAAUCUUCUGGCCGUUUUUCAGGACGGGUUUCUGAAUCAUCGACACCUGAGCGAAGGAAGAAUGGGCGGCAAGGCUUCAAGUUCACUCGGGCCGACGCAAAGCUGACAGCUGAACAUGCAGGCGGCCUAAAAGUGAAGCCGCAGCAUUACAGGUCAACCGUCCGCCGAACUUUGAACGGGCAGUGGGCGGCAAGGAACGCAAAGCUCAUAUAGCGCAUAAACAUCUCGCACCUUGGAAUAUGCAGCAGUGUUUCUUAUGUUGUGCAAACUGAAACCUCUGAUAGACGCGGUCUUUUGUUUCAAGGGCUCUGCCCUGCUGUCAGGCCCCCUGGACCAUUGGGCUGAGCAACGAAAUCCUUUCCCUCGCCAUUACACUUAUCACCCUUCGCACAAUGUAACGAGAAUUUUUGGCAGUUUAAUAUCAAAGGUAUCUUUAACUUUCUUUCUUUUGGAAUAGAAGAUUUCAAGGAAAGUGGGAGCGACAUUCCGCUUUCGUUAGCUGGAGGUUUAUUUGAGAGCUUGACUGUGUUGCUGGAUGGGGAGCAGAGACCGUUCACGGUCUCGGGACAGGCGGCGCUCAAGGUAACUGCUUGACAGGGGAUUGGGUCUUCUCGAUAUCAUAGCGCUCCAGCGAUGCUGCAAGGCCGUUAUACGCGUCUGCUGAUGGCUCAUAGAAACAUGGUUGCGUGUGCAGGUCACGAGAGCGGUCGCGAAGAUGGGACCGGGACCGUAGGUCACGUUCCAGGUCACGAGACCGGCGACGCAGGUAAUAGCUUAUUGGAUUUGCCAUACAGAUUUGGUUAUGGUCAGAACUACGGGUCGCUGUGAAACAGCUUCGGCUAUGGCCAAUCUUUGCCGCGUCUUCGUUCCUGGGGUGCAGCCGGAGCAGGAGCAAAAGUCGCAGCCGGAGUCGUGACCGGGCGAAGUCUUUAGCUUACGAUGCAAGCAUUAGCGCUGUUCAGGUGCGUAUGGAGGUGACGGCUUGUGCGUGCCUGGCUGCCUGCACUUAUCAGGAUGCAUGCUUUGGGGUUUAUCCUAGUCAUUUAGCGGCCUCCUGGCCAACCGAACGUGGCUGCGUUUGGCAUACGGGAAACCCUGUUUGGGAAGCCCUGUUCGGCGUGUCAAGUAGUCACAUAGGUGUCCCUUCCAUGCCCGUGCCUUCAGGCAAUGGCAGCCUUGCAACAGCAGCAACAGCUCCAGCGGCAACUUCUCGCGCAACAGCUGCUAUUGCAGCAGCAGGCUGCUGCGGCAGCGGCGGCCUUGGCGCCACCGGUGCAGCAACAGAACACGAGCACAGCAAAUGCAGAUAGAAAGGCCCGCGAAAUCUACGGUAAGGGAUGUUGUCCUGCUUCACGAAGGUUCCCAUCGCUUACACACGCCACGUAUUGGCUACUGGGGUGUCGGGAGAAGACCUUUCUCUCUUCCAAACCGUGCAGUGGGCAACCUUGCCAUUGGAGUUGUGACUUCGGACAUGUUGCGCGAACUGUUCAACACAAUCUUGGCCAACCAGGUCCCAGACCCCGCGAACGCACCGCCGGUGGUCAACGUGAACUUGGACUCGGCAGGUAGGAACGGGACUAGUGUUGGGUUGUAACGGGCAUGGCGAUCAUGUGGCGACAUGUUUCAGACACGCUGGUCGUAUUGAGCAGGUCGGCUGUGGUUACAGACCUGUCAAUUCCGUUUUUAAGGUCAACACCUCAACCAAACCAUGGUCCGUCAAUUUUUCGCAUCUGUUUCAGCGUACAUCCGUUCGAAAGCCUUGAAGCCGCCCGUCCGUCCGUCCUCUUGUGAUCUUCAUGGCCUUCGAAUUUCGUUCGAACCUCCCGACCACGCUCAACCUUAAUAGGUCGCUUUGCCUUCGUGGAGUUCCGCACGCGAGAGCUCACGGAUGCCGCAAUCCAGCUGGAUAAGCUGGAGUUAUGUGGUCGGCAAAUGAACAUUGGCCGGCCCAAGGGUUAUGUGGUGAGUAGGAUGGUUAGUUAGAACGAGCCUCAGGGAAGGAUGUCCGACGAAGAUGAGCCGGCAUUUGAUAGUACGGGUCAUGCGGCAAGGGGCUCGUCCUUACCGCGCCUCCUGGGAUGUCGCGCUUGCCUUUUGUAGUUGGCCGGGCCUAUGGAGGUACUGAUGUCUUUGCAGUCUGGGCAAAUAAUUGGCAAGUGUGUGUGCUUAACCGCUGAUAUUAAUGCCAUCCAUGACCUUGCUUGCAGGCUAUGCAAAUGCAACAGCAAACAGCAUUAGCUCAGGUUAGUGUAUCGGGUAUCCAUGCUAUGGUGUUUCUGGUGGCGCUUCACAUUGUUGUUGACAUAGUGCGUAAGGGUGCUUUUGUCUUCGAUGUAAUGGAUAGCGUUGGUAUCUUCGUUUCGUCUGUGGGCUGUCCAUUGAGGUCCAAUAUCAUGAACCGCAUGGACAGGAUACGUUUUCCGGCUCUUUUAUGCCCAGAGGGUCCAAAGUUAUGCGCAUGAUCGGUUAAAAUUAACCACUUGUGCCCGCCCGCUGGUCCCUGCCAAACAACAUACAGGUCCCUAACCAGUUGGCUGACGCCGCGAAGUUGGGCCAGGCGCAGGUGCUGGCGGCGGCUCUGGCGGGUGCAGUGCCCGCGUCCGCUAACACGCUAGCUGCAGCCGCAGCGACCCUGACAGUCAACACCCCCACCAAUGUGGUGCUGUUGGAGAACAUGGUGUCGUGCGGGACCAUUCGUGAUGAGAACGAGCGCAAGGAGGUGAGGUGGCUGUAGGGUGGACUGAACAUGCGAACACCUUCGGGUGCGAGAUGCCACAGGCAGCGUGCUCCUAAGGUUCGUGUUUUCAUCGCUCGCGUGGCUUUCAUCUAUGGCCCCAGGCUGUAGUGCACCAGGCCUGGUGCUCCAAAUAGCACCGCCGGCAGUGCUUCGGAGCAGAUAUGGCACUCAAAGUGCGACAUGUGUUUAUCUGAUGCGGUGGGGCGUUUUAUCCCGAAGACUACGUAUCGCUGUGCUAUGUGGGUUGUAGGCUCUUCUUCGCGGCAGAAAGAAGGAAAAGAUGUUGGGACCCGUGCAGACGCGAACGUUAACGACAAAACGUUUUCCAGUCUGCUGGUGUUGUAGCGAGGCGCAUACGAGCAACGUCGUUUCUGUGUUUGCUGUUGCGGGCUUGUGUUCCGUUGCCCCGUGCCCUUCCCGCUGCUGCUGUUCGUGGUGCAAUCGGCGUCUUGCUGCUUUGCCCAGGCCGCGACGAUGCUCGGUGUCAGUUCCGCGGCGGGUGAUAUCGCUGCCUCCGCACUAGCGUUCCCAGCUGCCGUGGCCACGGCAACGUGCUCCCGAGGGAGAGGAGGUCCUGCCGCGGCCUGACACAUGCCUGCUGCAGCUGCCUGCAUGGCUUGUCGCGCGCUGUGCUUCGUGUUGCUGCGUGCGCCGCCCUCUGCCUGCUGCUCUGCCUGCCCUCUGUCGUGUUCCCCGUGGGUGUCCCCGCCGCUGUCCGCUGUCGUUGCCGUUGGUGCCGCCUCUGCUGCGGUGGUGUCGUGUUCAUGUCUGCAGGCUGGUCGCACAAACAUGGGUUUGGACCCGUCAGCGGGGCAGGCGGGCCCCGACGCGACAACGGUCCCAGCGGCCGGUGACGGGAGGUUUUGCCUCAGUGGGGUGGGGUGAUAUGCAGUCUUAAGUCCCCAAGGGAUUGAUAAGAAACAGCUGUUGCCCGCGAACUGGCGUAUAUGCGCGGCAGGCUCAGCAGUUGGAAGCGGCGGUUGAUUGAGAAGAUACUCGAGAGCUGCGAAUUGGGCAGCUAUCCAGGCUUCAGGCAUCUCGCUUUCUGGCGAGAAGCCACGGAUAUGGCAUGUGCCAAUCAGAUAUUUAACGGGAUCCCCUCCUCUGACGCGGCCUUGGUUCCCUUCCCUUUUUCCCAUGCAUGUUUUAUCUCGUACCGGUGUCGGUGUCCUACCAACUGGCGUCGGGCGGCGCGUCACGGCUGUCUUCACCGGGUAACUCGUCCAACACUGAUUUUGUCGUGGUGGGUCCUCGGCUGCUUGGUGCCCCUGGCGCCCCUUUUUCAGAUACUCGAGGACGUACAACAGGAGGUCGUCAAGUGCGGUCCCGUAAUUGGCCUGGCUGUACCCAUGCCACCAGCCCAUGUCACCAACCAGGAAGCCAGCCGCGUAUACGUUAAGUACUCGACGGCCGCGGAAGCGGCUCGUUGCCGUACGAUGAUGGACGGGCGCAAGUUCGAUGACAACGCCGUCAAGGCCACAUUUGUGACGGAGGGCGAAUUCCUGCGCGCCCAGGCGGGAGAGUGGGUGGCCAAACCGGGGUUAUUAAUGCCGGCAGGUGUACCGGCAUUGCCAGCCGUCGCUGCUGGCCCAGCUGCUGCGCCAGCACUGCCUGCGGCGACGGGCUUGGCAGGUCUGGGAGCUUUGGGCGCGCUGGGCGCGGCACCAGCUGCUCCGCAAGUGCCAGGUCACGUGCCAAUCCAGCAGACAGGCGGUCUGGUGUUGCCCCCGGGGUUUACACUUCCAGCGGGGUUUACGUUGGCAGGGGCUAUGCCUGGGCUCGGAUUGCCGAAGUAAGCUGUGGCCAGCGAAGUUGUUUCGAGGUAGUUGCUAGCAAGACAUGCGACGGUGAGAGGUGUGUAGGUUGCGGAUAAUUUAGGGUCUUUUAGGAAUCGGGUCCCUUCAUGUACGGGUGAUAUCAAUGGUUGCGUCGGUAGACAUAGGCAUAGCCAUCACUCCCGAGUAGCUCCUUGCACGUUACAUCAGUUCACCUUUGAGGGCUAGGCGAAAGGGGUAUGCGCCACAAAGGCGUACUUGGGUUCCCUAGCAGGCGCGGCCGUUGUGACGGCUCUGGGCGCAGCUUGGAACACGGCUGUAAGGAAGGUUGUCCAGAACGUGUUCCUUGGGGUAUCGGGUCAACCAAGAAAUGUCGGAAUAUUUUUGCAGUGAGGAGAGUUGUACAGUGGACCCCGGCCGGUUCAUGUGCAAUGCCCUAAACGAACGUCAAGCGCACAACACUGUGGGCCGUACACGGCCAAGCAUACUAGCUUCACUGACGAUAUAGCCUCAGCCAGCACAAUUGAGGACAUCAAACAUUAAAGUUUCGGGUUGUCGGGUUUUAACAUUCCUCAAGAGCAAGGAACGGGUGGCCAGACGGUAUGGAUUGCCAGCCCCUAGGAGCAUGUCUUCUCUCUGCACACGCAGUAAGACGUGCCCAGUGCCCAGUGAGGAGAGCCCGUCGGACACAUCGAUUUGCCACUGGGUUGCAAAGUAACAUAGGCAGCCGCACAUUAAGGGGCAUAAAGAGAGGUCACAAGGACAAAUUAGUACAGAGCCGUAUCUACAGCGACAGUAUGGAGAGGUUGUUUAGCUCGUACCCCGAUAGGGAACAGCUAUGCGCUGGGGUGGAAGUUCCCCAUAUGCUUAAUAAUCCUGUAAGGGCCUUGAGAGCCCGCCAUCCAGUGUGUCCCUCACCAACGUGGCCUGCAUCUUUGUGUAUGUGUGUGUGUAUGUGUGAUAUCGGGAAGGGAGAUGAGCCGUGAUCGGAAAAGUUGGCGAGCGUCGAAGCUGAUGAGACACCAUAUUCCACCUCACAAAUGAGGUGUGAUCAACUUCCAACGUGGGACGUGUGUACUUUGGGACAUCGCACAACCGGCACAACAUCUAAAAAUCCAACUUGGCGCCGGGUUGGGGAUCAAUAUAAAAGCGUGACCGUUACAAACCGUUCGAUUCCUUGCAUACCUGCUGCGUAAAGACCCUGUUCGCUCACCCAAACACUCUCUAAGAAAGUUAAAAGCUAGUACAUGCGGUUGAAACCAGUUCUUCUCCUUGUUGCGCUGAGCUAAGCUGCUCACAAAUGUGGCGACGGGCAUUCCUUAUCGGCCUGAUGAGUGCUGUUAUAUUAUGGAUUAGUAAGUAUGCCUUAUGAUGCUAGCAGAUGCCACAUCUGCGCAUCCCCGGCGUCCCGAUGUUUUGUCGCGGUGUGCGCUUCAAGGCCCAGAUCUAACUUGCCGAUUGCGACAUUCACGGGGGCAUCUUAAUACCAUAAGCUCAUCAAAUGAUCGGGCUUGCAUGACAUGAAGCUGCUGCCGAAUCCGCUGCCAAUACCGACACCCGCAAGCACUAGUCGAUCUUGCCUUGUGGAUUUUGCUCCUUGGAUACAUGCACCCUGCCUUUUUGGAUCCUAUGCGUCUAAGCUGAUGACUCGCUGCCCUUGUCACGGCCUUGUGCUUGUCAAGAUGCCCCUGCCCCUCGGGCCUCAUCCCGCAACCCACGCUUGCCCAGCCGACUUCCUCCCCACACCACCAACCCCUCGACUGCAACCGCUGGCCACCCCUACUCAACCCCUACUUCUCCACAGGCCGUGUGGAGAUACCGCUGCCGUACCCCGCGCAUCACUUCAUUUUCAAGGAUUUUGACCCCGCGCUGCUGCCCACCAACCCCAUGCCACUCGAGGUACGAUAAAACACACGAGCUCUCAAGUACCAACAUGGCCAACACGGUUUCCGACGUUUUCUGUGAUUUCCAGCGCAAGGCGGGAUCUUAACGCUGCAUGUGUUCAAUCGUCAGAGCUCCGAAUCACCCCAAGUGCAGUACUAUCUCAUCACGCACCGCUCCUGUUUGCCGCAUGCUUUCGUUUUGCGGCUCAUAGGGGCCCUAUAUCUGGCAUAGCGCUGUACAUGAGUUCCAACCGCUAACGGCGACAGGAGGAGACCCUAGGCAUUUAGGUUACAGGGUGACGUGUCGUGCGGGCGAGGCGGGGCUUCGUACGGCGGCACUUUUGCCCUGCGCUGGUGUCCGUCUCGGUCACAGUCCUCCGUGCUAAUAGCCGUACUACCUCCCGUACUUCCUGCCGUGCAACUGCAGGGUCCGUACGCUCCGAAUGAGAUUCUCCGUAAGGGGCACCGCCUUUUCGAUGGUGUCAUUCAGUCCUCAGGUUGGUUAAAGAGGGAACCCCAGGUGACGGUGAAAGGUUGGAUGAUUCAACACACAGCUGUGCCGAUGUUUCCUCUGCUUCUUCUUCCUUCAUCAUUCGCGCAGGUUCCCCAGUGAGGGUCUUGUUGUAUUCGAUAAGCAUAAGCAAUGUCGGGAUCGAACUGGGGACGUGGUGAUGCUUGCCCCUUGAGGAAGUUUGGAUGUCCGUGUAGGUAGUGUCGACAGCCCUAAGAGUGACCCAUGGGUCUGGGUUCCAAUAUCCUCCCACCCAUCCGCUGCGUAGAGCACGUGGCCAUUUCUCCGGAAGGUAACCUCACGCUGAUUGACAAGUUUGGCUACGUCUACGAGGCCGCGCCAGCCACCAGUGUACGUACGGGCGAGGCGUGUAUUGUCCGUACGAGUAGCCGUACUGGUUUCCCACGGCUGAAACGUCGGUUGGGACCUUUCCUCCGGCCAAUAUCUUUCUUUGCCUGUUAACUCUGUUCGUUUCAUAAAGGUAAACUCUUACAUGUGAUUCGGUAAGUUGCAUUCCUAGUAGUCAUUAAAAAUCCACGUCUGCUGUUUAGUUGUAUGUUGUCUUUUUACUAAUCUGGUCAAACCCGAAUCGUGAGGUACCAAAACGAACAGGGCCCGCAAGGCGCUUUCCCGGAAGGUUUCACAUGCGGGCAGGAGGAGGUGGCACACACGGUGUAUGUCGGCUGCACGUGCCGCACCCGCUGCAGGUCCCCGGCGCCGUGUACCCCGAGGAGUGGGCUCCGGACCUCCCCCCCGUGGCCUACAUCGGCCCCGCGGGUCGCCCCCUGGGAUUCCACCACGACGGCGCGGGGAACCUCAUCAUAGCGGAUGCGCUCAAGGUUGAGGGGUGUGGGGUGCGGCCGCGACAGCGCCACGGACUGUGCCUGUAACGGGCUGUCUCACCUAGGGAGGGGCAGCAUACCGCGAGGAAGUGUAGCAACACCCCCACAGCCCUAGGGGGUGCACUGUUCAGUCUGUCAGACCGUGUGCAAGUUGGUCGACUAAUAAGCAGCGGCGGGCACCACCUGACUGCAGACCAGGUCAGAUCACAUCGAGUACAAUUAAAUUAAACAGUCUGAUAAGGUAGAGAAUGAAACGUGACUAGGAGUAGGCCAAGCUUACGAAAUCCUAACUAAACCAAGGCAUACCUGGUUCGCGGCCAUUAGGAAAUCCUCGGCCC
Molecule: long non-coding RNA, 36615 nt
Filed under: Volvox carteri
Lineage: Eukaryota; Viridiplantae; Chlorophyta; Chlorophyceae; Chlamydomonadales; Volvocaceae
Description: long non-coding RNA (VCAR_LNC002764)
Source: RNAcentral